RNAcentral lists this long non-coding RNA (260 nucleotides) under Elaeis guineensis (African oil palm). RNAcentral describes it as "long non-coding RNA (EGUI_LNC039948)". The record is from RNAcentral. Lineage: Eukaryota; Viridiplantae; Streptophyta; Magnoliopsida; Arecales; Arecaceae.
GGGCCCUCUAGAGAUGGUGUUCAUGAUCCUGAUUGGAGGUCGAUCUCCAGGCUGUUCUUCUCUCCUUGGCAGCUCCGGUUGUGGUAGGGCCCUCGACUGAUCCUCCCUACUUUCAGACCGACGUCGGAUGAAUCUGUCGAGCCGAUCCCACCUGAUAAGCUCCUCGAUUUCGUCUCAGAGCUGAAUGCAUUCCGCCAUGUCGUGGCCGUGGUCACGAUGAUAGAGGCAGAAUUUGUUUGGGUUGCACUUCCUGGGGUGCG